GAUGAACGCUAGCGGCAGGCCUAAUACAUGCAAGACGAACGGUAACUUUGGUAGCAAUAUUGAAGCAAGAGUGUCGUAAGGGUGCGUAACACGUAUGCAAUCUGCCCUCAACAGGAGGAUAGCUCCCCGAAAGGGGAAUUAACACUCCAUAAGAUCAUGGUUCGGCAUCGGACAGUGAUUAAAAACUACGGUGGUUGAGGAUGAGCAUGCGCAUGAUUAGUUAGUUGGCGGGGUAAUGGCCCACCAAGACGAUGAUCAUUAGGGGAACUGAGAGGUUGAUCCCCCACACUGGCACUGAGAUACGGGCCAGACUCCUACGGGAGGCAGCAGUAGGGAAUAUUGCGCAAUGGACGAAAGUCUGACGCAGCAACGCCGCGUGCAGGAUGAAGGCCCUUUGGGUUGUAAACUGCUGUAGAAAGGGAAUAAUAGUUUGCCACGGGUGAACUUGAAGGUACCUUUAAAGUAAGCGCCGGCUAACUACGUGCCAGC
This 489-nucleotide ribosomal RNA is filed under the name uncultured bacterium. Its description in RNAcentral is "bacterial SSU rRNA". It matches the Rfam family "Bacterial small subunit ribosomal RNA", at positions 28 to 512 of the family's 1533-position model. The record is from RNAcentral.